GAUGAACGCUGGCGGCGUGCCUAAUACAUGCAAGUCGAGCGAACAGACGAGGAGCUUGCUCCUCUGACGUUAGCGCCGGACGGGUGAGUAACACGUGGAUAACCUCCCUAUAAGACUGGGAUAACUCUUGGAAACCGGAGCUCAUAUCGGAUAAUAUAUUUAACCGCAUGUUUCAAUAGUGAAAGACGGUUUUGCUGUCACUCAUAGAUGGAUCCGCGCCGUAUUAGCUAGUUGGUAAGGUAACGGCUUACCAAGGCGACGAUGCGUAGCCGACCUGAGAGGGUGAUCGGCCACACUGGAACUGAGAAACGGUCCAGACUCCUACGGGAGGCAGCAGUAGGGAAUCUUCCGCAAUGGGCGAAAGCCUGACGGAGCAACGCCGCGUGAGUGAAGAAGGUCUUCGGAUCGUAAAACUCUGUUAUUAGGGAAGAACAAAUAUGUAAGUAACUAUGCACGUCUUGACGGUACCUAAUCAGAAAGCCACGGCUAACUACGUG
Molecule: ribosomal RNA, 497 nt
Filed under: uncultured bacterium
Lineage: Bacteria
Description: partial 16S ribosomal RNA
Rfam family: Bacterial small subunit ribosomal RNA
Source: RNAcentral